Molecule: ribosomal RNA, 421 nt
Filed under: uncultured bacterium
Lineage: Bacteria
Description: partial 16S ribosomal RNA
Rfam family: Bacterial small subunit ribosomal RNA
Source: RNAcentral
AAUUUUGGACAAUGGGCGCAAGCCUUAUCCAGCCAUGCCGCGUGAGCGAAGAAGGCCUUCGGGUUGUAAAGCUCUUUCGGACGGUACGAAAUCGCGCAGGCUAAUACACUGCGCGGAUGUCGGUACCGUCAUAAAAAGGACCGGCUAACUACGUGCCAGCAGCCGCGGUAAUACGUAGGGUGCGCGCGUUAAGCGGAAUUACUGGGCGUAAAGCGUGCGCAGGCGGUUGAUUAAGACAGGCGGGAAAUCCCCGGGCUUAACCUGGGAACUGGGGUUGUGACUGGUCAGGUAGAGUACGGCAAAGGGGGGUGGAAUUCCACGUGUAGCAGGGAAAUGCGUAGAGAUGUGGAGGAACACCGAUGGCGAAGGCAGCCCCCUGGGCCGAUACUGACGCUCAUGCACGAAAGCGUGGGUAGCAAAC